Molecule: non-coding RNA, 75 nt
Organism: Ameiurus melas (black bullhead)
Lineage: Eukaryota; Metazoa; Chordata; Actinopteri; Siluriformes; Ictaluridae
Source: the annotation of a GenBank genome assembly
UGGCCGGUCAGCUCAACUGGUUAGAGUGUGGUGCUAAUAAAGACAAGGUCUCGGGUUCGACCCCUGUACAUUUAA